Molecule: transfer RNA, 68 nt
Filed under: Marmota monax (woodchuck)
Lineage: Eukaryota; Metazoa; Chordata; Mammalia; Rodentia; Sciuridae
Description: tRNA.Thr
Source: RNAcentral
GGACUGUGGCUCAGUGGUAGAGCACUUGCCUAGUACAUGUGAGACACUGGGUUUGAUCCUCAGCACCA